AUAGACUUAAAAAAAGAAAGGUGGGUUUCCCCAGGGCAUAGGCGCUCGCUCACUCUUGGCUGCAUUGUUACAGCCACAUGGGGAGCUUUUAGAAAGGAAAACAUUUGCAGUAAGUGCCCAGGUGAUUUCAGGAGGCAGACGGGCCGAAACCCCCCAAGAGGGACCCUGCUUGCUCCUGUGCUCCUCUGUCCCUGGUCAGCGCGUGUUUCCGGAGCACCUGCUGUGAGCCACACUCUUUUCCUGGGUAUCGGGAGCACGCCAGGAAAAGCGCCUGUACUCGCGGGGUUUGCCAGUCUGAACGCACCACGGCCUGGGCAGCCAGGCCCCUUUGAGUCUGUCAGGCAAGCGCCCGGCACUGAAAGGGCAGAAACCCACCCGCUAAGGGAGCGGGCGGGGCCCAGGCUGCUUCGGGCCUCUGUCUCCCUCCCCUCCUUCCUGGUGGCUGUUGCAGAGGAGAUCAAAGACUCGGACCUUCCAACCACAGACAUCCCCCCCCCCCCCACUUUGUCACUUGGCCACUGGGAGUUUGGUGGUGGGCGGGCCUCUCCGGACAGCUGCAAGGGUCAUCCGCAGGCCCCCGCGGAGCAGCGUGGCCAGGUCGUGCGACCGUCCCUCCUUUCCUGCCCCUCUCCACCCCUGCAAUUAAUUCUCUCUGAGGCCAGUCCAGAACUGAUGGCCGCCACACUGGGACUCAGGCCUGGCUGCUGGGUGCCCGUGGCAGGGUGGCCUAGCACGUGCCUUGGCCCCCAUUCCUCCCUCCUCCCUUCCUUCUUCCCUCCCUCCGUCCUCCCUUCCUUCUUCCUUCUUCCUUCCGCCCUUCCUCCCUCCUCCCUCCUCCCUCCCUCUUCCUUCCCCCCUUCCUCCCUCCCUCCCUCUUCCUUCCCCCCUUCCUCCCUCCCUCCCUUCCUUCCUUCCCUCCCUCCCUCCCUUCCUUCCUUCCCUCUUCCUUCCCUCCCUCCCUCCCUCCUCCCUUCCUUCUUCCUUCUUCCUUCUUCCUUCCGCCCUCCCUCCCUCCCUCUUCCUUCCCCCCUUCCUCCCUCCCUCCCUUCCUUCCUUCCUUCCCUCUUCCUUCCCUCCCUCCCUCUUCCUUCCCCCCUCCUCCCUCCCUCUUCCUUCCCUCUUUCCUCCCUCCCUCCCUCCUCCUCCCUCCCUUCCUUCCUUCCUACCUACCUAUAUUCAUUCACUUACUCCUUUUUCACUGCUGUGUCCCUGGGGAACAGGACCAGCCCCUGCUGA
Molecule: long non-coding RNA, 1236 nt
Filed under: Felis catus (domestic cat)
Lineage: Eukaryota; Metazoa; Chordata; Mammalia; Carnivora; Felidae
Description: lncRNA (ENSFCAG00000050695.1)
Source: RNAcentral